This is an RNA transcript of Macadamia integrifolia, 2008 nucleotides long. It is a transcript of the gene named nuclear pore complex protein NUP50A-like, with no coding region annotated. Lineage: Eukaryota; Viridiplantae; Streptophyta; Magnoliopsida; Proteales; Proteaceae. The record is from RefSeq and is a predicted model, not a curated record. The transcript has 4 exons.
GUGUUCUUUAUAAAUCCAACGGCUAAGAUCAAUAGCUCUUCAAACUUAAGCAAUCUUGGCGGAAAUAAUUAAUGGAAGCGAAAAAAAUUUGAGCUUUGGAGCAUAUUCUUCUCAAAGGAUUUCCCUUCGUUUUUUAUCGUCAGGACUCUCGUUUUUUCAACACUUCCACCAAGAAGAAAAAAAAUACCCAUUAUUGUUAAACCAUUUCUUCGGGGUUCUACUGCUUCUGCUAUUCUUCCAUCAGGUGCUAGGAUCUUCUUUUUGUGAUCCACUGAUAAGGAAGCUUCUCCUGUUUUGGUUGUAGAAUUAAAUUCUUAAUGGGUGAUUCAGAAAAUACAGUUCCUUCUUCAAAAAAGAGGGUUGCUGGGAGAGAGCUGUCUCGGGAUAAUCCUGGACUGGACGAUGAGGAUGAGUCUCCUGAGCAAGAGACUGGGACAUUCAAGAGGGCUAGUGAUGAAGUGUUGGCGACCAGAAGAAUUGUUAAGGUUCGCCGUCAACAACCUCCAGCAGCUGCCUCUUCCAAUCCUUUUGCUGCAAUCCGUUUAGUAAAUCCUCCUACUGAAUCCAGUACAAAACCAGCUGAAGUUAUCCCUGAAGCACAUCCUGGUGAGCAAAAAGUUUCAGAAGGAGCAGAAGGAACAAGUGAUGUGGGUACAGAAACUGAAAAGGAGCCUGAAAUAACUGAGCCAAAACAAGAUAAGAACGAUAAGCCAUCAGAAAACAGGAUUGAUGAACCAAAGGCCGAAUCUGAUAAUGAUAAGAGGAAAAGUGGUCCAGUUGAUGAAGUAGGUGAACCUGAGAUUGGUGAGGAAAAGGAAGCUGUUGAUGAAACUGAGAAGGUAGCUGAGGAAGAGAAUGGUCAGCCAAAUACAGCUUCUCCUCUAAGUUCAUUUCGACAAUUGUCAAGCAACCAAAAUGCCUUCACGGGUCUUGUUGGUACUGGAUUUUCCAGUUCGUCAUUCUCCUUUGGCUUAAUUCCAAAAGAUGGUUCUGGAGUUGGUUUUGGCUCUGGUGCUGGGCCUCGGUUUGGGCUUAACAAUGACAAACCAUCUUCUUAUCCGCCCUUCAGUUUUGGUAGCUCUAACAACGGGAGCCCUUCUGUCUUUAGAACUGGAGGGGAAUCCAGUGUUGCUAAGAGCGAGGGAGGUGGCCCCUCCUUGCAGGAGGUUCAGGUUGAGACAGGGGAAGAGAAUGAGAAGGCUGUUUUUAGUGCUGAUGCUGUGUUGUUUGAGUAUCUUGAUGGAGGGUGGAAGGAACGAGGAAAAGGAGAACUCAAAGUGAAUGUUUCAACGAGUGGAACUGAAAAGGCCAGACUUAUUAUGAGAGCUAGGGGAAACUUACGGUUGAUCUUGAAUGCAAGUCUUUACCCAGACAUGAAAUUCACAAAUAUGGACAAGAAGGGCAUCACUUUUGCUUGCAUAAAUAGCACAGGAGAAUGUAAGGAAGGGCUUUCUACAUUUGCCUUGAAGUUCAAGGAUGGUUCCAUUGUGGAAGAGUUCCGUGGAGAAGUUAUGGCACACAAAGGCAGUGUGAGUUAUUUAUAAGAUGGCUGUCCAACAUUGGCGGAAGAUUUGAAGUUGAUUUGUCAAAGAGACAUCACUAGUUUUGAAUGCCCAAGCAAGUCCCCACACAAAGAAGAAAGUCCUUUUGUCCCUGAGAGAGCAAGGCUGUGCUAAGACAUGCAAGCAAGUCCUUUGUCCGAGUUGAUUGGAGAUCAAAGACACUGUGCUCAUGGCCAAAUUCGUUGAGCUGGAGAUAAUAUUUUUUUUUUAAAACAAUUUUAGAAUUUUUAUUUUUGUUUCUUUUGAGAAUUAUCAUUGAAUCCAGGAGGGAGAGAAUUUCCAGAGGCUUGUUAGAUUUUAGCAUUGAUCUUCUGAUGCAGAUCAGUGGUCUAAUUCACCAAUUGUGGGUUAGUUUAGGGGCUGUUAUCUUCUUUGUUUUUUAUUAAUUAGUUUCCUUGUACAGUUUGGAUUACCAGUUAUAAAUUCUAGUCCUAUUUUUAGUCUUA